GAGGAGGGCCCUCCGCAAUCGCCAUACAGGUGGAGGUUGCAAAACACUUAUAGGUGCUCCGGGCAAAAUCCGGGGUGCUGAGCGUAUAAGAAAAGGCGAAAAAAAAAUCGUCAG
This 114-nucleotide non-coding RNA is filed under the name Eisenbergiella porci. Lineage: Bacteria; Bacillati; Bacillota; Clostridia; Lachnospirales; Lachnospiraceae. The record is from RNAcentral.